UGGAAUAUAGCUCAGUGGCACAGCAUCUGCCUGGCAAACACAAGGUCCUGAGUUUGAUUCCCAGUGCCAA
RNAcentral lists this transfer RNA (70 nucleotides) under Cavia porcellus (domestic guinea pig). It matches the Rfam family "tRNA". From Rfam's summary of the family: Transfer RNA (tRNA) molecules are approximately 80 nucleotides in length. Lineage: Eukaryota; Metazoa; Chordata; Mammalia; Rodentia; Caviidae. The record is from Rfam by way of RNAcentral.